CCUACGGGUGGCAGCAGUGAGGAAUAUUGGUCAAUGGGCUUACGCCUGAACCAGCCAAGUCGCGUGAGGGAAGACUGCCCUAUGGGUUGUAAACCUCUUUUGUCAGGGAGCAACGCCGGCUACGUGUAGCCGGACUGAGAGUACCUGAAGAAAAAGAAUCGGCUAACUCCGUGCAAGCAGCCGCGGUAAUACGUAGGAUGCGAGCGUUAUCCGGAUUGAUUGGGUUAAAAGGGUGCGUAGGCGGAAUGCCAAGUCAGCGGUAAAAUCGCGGGGCUCAACCUCGCUCCGCCGUUGAAACUGGCGUUCUUGAGUGGGCGAGAAGAAUGCGGAAUGCGUGGUGUAGCGGUGAAAUGCAUAGAUAUCACGCAGAACUCCGAUUGCGAAGGCAGCAUACCGGCGCCCAACUGACGCUGAAGCACGAAAGCGUGGGUAUCGAACAGGAUUAGAUACCCCAGUAGUC
Molecule: ribosomal RNA, 460 nt
Filed under: uncultured bacterium
Lineage: Bacteria
Description: partial 16S ribosomal RNA
Rfam family: Bacterial small subunit ribosomal RNA
Source: RNAcentral